AUGAGCAGCCGCCGCCGCAGCCGCCACGUCGGCUUGCCGCCGGCCGCGCCGCUGGACGACGACGACCUCCUCUCCGAGAUCCUGCUCCGCCUCCCCCCGCAGCCCUCAUCACUCCCGCGCGUAUCCCUCGUCUGCAAGCGGUGGCGCGGCCUCGUCUCCGACCCCGGCUUCUUCCGCCGCUUCCGCCUCCGCCACCGCCGCAACCCUCCUCUCCUCGGUUUCUUCGACAGAUUUCUAGGUCAGACAUUCCGACCUACCCUGGAGGCCCCCAAUCGUGUUCCUCCCGAGCGCUUCUCCAUGCAGCACCACGAGGAUCUCGUGCACGCCUUUUCCCAUGGAUGCCGCCAUGGUAUCUAUCUAGAGCUACAUUCUGCUGUCUGA
This 381-nucleotide ribosomal RNA is filed under the name Triticum aestivum (bread wheat). RNAcentral describes it as "partial small subunit ribosomal RNA". Lineage: Eukaryota; Viridiplantae; Streptophyta; Magnoliopsida; Poales; Poaceae. The record is from RNAcentral.